RNAcentral lists this long non-coding RNA (298 nucleotides) under Chinchilla lanigera (long-tailed chinchilla). RNAcentral's name for it is "lncRNA (ENSCLAG00000024059.1)". The record is from RNAcentral. Lineage: Eukaryota; Metazoa; Chordata; Mammalia; Rodentia; Chinchillidae.
CUCUCCAGGCAACUCCUCUCCAUCACCUGCCUCUACCGACCUGCAGACUGCUCGGACCCUACCCUUCGCUCAGUUCCUGAGAGCUGGAUGUAAAUACUGACACCCUGAGUCCUCAGGAGCCUUCUGGAAGCUCCAGCAAGCCAGGAGUCAGGAUCCCAGCAGGGCAGGUGGGAAGCCACCAAGACGUCUGAUUUCCAGUCACUGUGCAGGGUGUGUGUGUGGUACUGGGGACCCAGGCCCUGUCCACCAGGACUCAUGGUCACCCGGGGAGUGGGGAGAACACGGACGCAGAACUGCC